Molecule: ribosomal RNA, 465 nt
Filed under: uncultured bacterium
Lineage: Bacteria
Description: partial 16S ribosomal RNA
Rfam family: Bacterial small subunit ribosomal RNA
Source: RNAcentral
GACGAACGCUGGCGGCGUGCUUAACACAUGCAAGUCGAACGGAAAGGCCCUGCUUGCAGGGUACUCGAGUGGCGAACGGGUGAGUAACACGUGGGUGAUCUGCCCUGCACUUCGGGAUAAGCCUGGGCAACUGGGUCUAAUACCGGAUAGGAGCCAUUUUUAGUGUGAUGGUUGGAAAGUUUUUUCGGUGUAGGAUGAGCUCGCGGCCUAUCAGCUUGUUGGUGGGGUAAUGGCCUACCAAGGCGGCGACGGGUAGCCGGCCUGAGAGGGUGGACGGCCACAUUGGGACUGAGGUACGGCCCAGACACCGACGGGAGGCAGCAGUGGGGAAUAUUGCACAAUGGGCGCAAGCCGGAUGCAGCGACGCCGCGUGGGGGAUGACGGCCUUCGGGUUGUAAACUCCUUUCGCUAGGGACGAAGCUUUUUGUGACGGUACCUAGAUAAGAAGCACCGGCUAACUACGUG